Molecule: microRNA, 22 nt
Filed under: Petromyzon marinus (sea lamprey)
Lineage: Eukaryota; Metazoa; Chordata; Hyperoartia; Petromyzontiformes; Petromyzontidae
Description: pma-miR-4628
Source: miRBase by way of RNAcentral
GGGUCCAUCGUCUUGAAAUACC